RNAcentral lists this unclassified non-coding RNA (286 nucleotides) under Hevea brasiliensis (rubber tree). Lineage: Eukaryota; Viridiplantae; Streptophyta; Magnoliopsida; Malpighiales; Euphorbiaceae. The record is from RNAcentral.
AUGAUUUUGUGAGAUUCAAUUGAAUUAUUUUCUUGCAAAUAAUUUAUUCCAAAAGAAGCCAAUAAGCUUAACCUAUAAACGGCGGGUUAUGCUAACACAACCUAAGGUUUCAAUGCUGGAAUUAGUAGGCAGAUCAAGAACGGGUGGAAAAUAGUUCAAAGCAUAAACCAAAUGAAAUUCCUCCAUAUGAUCUGCUUUUCCUGUGUACAUAUAUCAAGAAGAAACAGACAACUGAGUUUAAAAUUAAUCUAAACUUACAUACCAGUACACCAGUAAGUGCCAAAAA